Sebastes umbrosus (honeycomb rockfish) is the source of this 1175-nucleotide long non-coding RNA. RefSeq lists it as uncharacterized. NCBI's taxonomy places the organism in Eukaryota, Metazoa, Chordata, Actinopteri, Perciformes, Sebastidae. The record is from RefSeq and is a predicted model, not a curated record. The transcript is spliced from 3 exons.
CCAAUACCAACACCAGCACCAGCACCAACACCAACACCAAUACCAACACCAACACCAAUACUAACACCAACACCAAUACCAACACCAGCAGCACCAGCACCACCAAUCUAAUGAGAUAAUACCACUGGUCUCUGUGGUAUUCAGGAGGAGGGUUACAGGUCUACAGGUCUACAGGGUCUACAGGUCUACAGGUCUACAGGUUCACUCUGGAACAGAGGAGGUCUGAGAGCUGAGUCAGGACAAGAAUUCAGGUUAUUUCUUGUUUUGUUCAGUGACCUCACUAAUCACUGGUCACUCACAAAUCUGCUCACGUGUUUCAUUCUGUUCAUUCAGGACUCUGUUCUCUGUAACACAUGAAGCUCAACAGGUCUGUGGAGCUCCGGAAGUUCAUCUAGGAGAGUUCACCAGGUGGACCGCAGGAGCUGGUUUCUGGUCUUACAGGUGACGCUGCUCCGCUGGUUUCUGGUCGUACAGCUGACGUUGCUCCGCUGGUUUCUGGUCGUACAGCUGACGUUGCUCCGUUGGUUUCUCGUCCUACAGCUGACGUUGCUCCGCUGGUUUCUGGUCGUACAGCUGACGUUGCUCCGCUGGUUUCUGGUCGUACAGCUGACGUUGCUCCGUUGGUUUCUUGUCCUACAGCUGACGUUGCUCCGCUGGUUUCUGGUCCUACAGCUGACGUUGCUCCGCUGGUUUCUGGUCGUACAGCUGACGUUGCUCCGCUGGUUUCUGGUCGUACAGCUGACGUUGCUCCGCUGGUUUCUGGUCGUACAGGUGACGUUGCUCUGCUGUUUUCUGGUCGUACAGCUGACGUUGCUCCGCUGGUUUCUGGUCGUACAGCUGACGUUGCUCCGUUGGUUUCUGGUCGUACAGGUGACGUUGCUCUACUGGUUUCUGGUCGUACAGGUGACGUUGCUCCGCUGGUUUCUGGUCGUAGAGCUGACGUUGCUCCGUUGGUUUCUGGUCGUACAGCUGACGUUGCUCUACUGGUUUCUGGUCAUACAGGUGACGUUGCUCCGCUGGUUUCUGGUCGUACAGGUGACGUUGCUCCGCUGGUUUCUGGUCGUACAGCUGCGUUGCUCCGCUGGUUUCUGGUCGUACAGCUGACGUUGCUCCGCUGGUUUCUGGUCGUACAGCUGACGUUGCUCCGCUGGUUUCUGGUCGUACAGCUGCGUUGC